RNAcentral lists this long non-coding RNA (228 nucleotides) under Lathyrus oleraceus (garden pea). RNAcentral's name for it is "Pisum sativum (pea) long non-coding RNA (PSAT_LNC015912)". Lineage: Eukaryota; Viridiplantae; Streptophyta; Magnoliopsida; Fabales; Fabaceae. The record is from RNAcentral.
UUUUUUGAAUGAUAUGUAUGAUGUGUAUUUAAUGCUUGUGGAUGCAAAAAAAUUAUUUUUUUAUGUUUUUGUUUUUAUUUUCAGGGAACCAUUUAUAAAGAUUAUUGUUAGUAAGGAUUCCCUCUUUCCCAAGUCUGGCCACCUUAGCUCUCAGCUCCUCUACCUCCUCAAGUGAGACAAGCACCCUUUCUGGUGUAGCAAGCCUAGGAGGGAUCUAUAUUGAAAAAG